GCGAUUGACGUUGGAAGCCGGCAAUCAGAAGCAGAGACGCAGGACGUCACAGAAAGUGGGUGGGACUCCACGCACCUUCAGCCUAUGCUUUGGGACUCAUUUGACAGGAGGCCGCCCUCCUUUUAAAGACACAGAGGGCUUUUUUUAACUGGCAAAGGAGUUAGCCCAAUCAGGAAAGCCGGUCCUGGUUUGUAAAGACAGAAGGACUUUUAACUAAAACUGGAAAUUGAAGUCUGGAAGAUUAGAUGGCCCUCAUUAAUUAACCAACGAGUUCACAUGAGUAUAGUUCGCUCAAGAUCAGAGCACAUGUGCUCAGGAAGCGCGGGUCUGGGUGACAUUAAGUUACCUGCCUGCGCCUGUCUAGUUACUAAAUAAUAUUUUACCUGUUUCCAACUCAUGAAUCAGUGGGUUGACAGCCAUCCAGUUUGGGGGCCUGCACUGAAUGAAAAAUCGAAGGAGAGCGAGAGCUAGGCACCAGCAUCCGCCUCUCUGUGCUUCCAGACAGCAGACACAUGGUGACAAGCUGCCCCAUCCUUCUCCCUUUCCAUGAUGGCCUGUAGUCAGUCCCUCCGUGCGUCCACAUAGACCCAUCCUCCCAUAAGUUGCUUUGCUCUCCUCCAGCUGCUCUUCAGCAUCCACAUGCACCCACCAACAGGCCUGUGAAGCGAGCAUCGUGGCUGAAGUACUCAUGACAGUGAGUGUCUCCCUGGAAACCCGUGACCCCUGG
Peromyscus maniculatus bairdii (prairie deer mouse) is the source of this 727-nucleotide non-coding RNA. NCBI's taxonomy places the organism in Eukaryota, Metazoa, Chordata, Mammalia, Rodentia, Cricetidae. The record is from RefSeq and is a predicted model, not a curated record.